GACAGGGCGUAGCGCAGAGACUGCAGAUCCGGACUCUUUUCCAGAAACGUUUUCUUCAGGCCCACACCGCCGGCGUGGAAGUAUUGCUGUGUAACAGAUGUGACAUGACACGCUUAUUGAGGAUAACCGAAUGGCAGAUAGACGGCAGACACAGCGAGCUCUAAGCGGAGCGUGUAAUGUGAGCGAGUGCGACUAAACUGCCUUGUAGCAUGCAUCAGGGCUUUCAGUCUGCGAGCAAUGAAGAAGUAAUUUAAAGAUCUCUAAAUGUGCGUCAAACCUGGCGGAUGAUGAUUAAGAGUCACAUUUAAGCAUUGAAGAUCAUCUGAGUUCCCUGUCGAGGAGAGACACAAAGACCAGGUGGCGCAGAGUGAGCGGAUAAAAGAAACAAAUGGAGUUUUCUGAGAUGUGCCAGUGAGGAAGAUUUGCAAGGUGACAGGUAAGGUCAAGAAAUCUCAACAUUUGAUGCCAACCCUUGAGACAAAUUUAAGUUGUUUUUUUAAACUUUAUUGAUGGUCCAUGGAGAGACACUUACUUGCUGUCCAGGAA
Molecule: long non-coding RNA, 546 nt
Organism: Pelmatolapia mariae (spotted tilapia)
Lineage: Eukaryota; Metazoa; Chordata; Actinopteri; Cichliformes; Cichlidae
Exons: 3
Source: RefSeq, a predicted model, not a curated record